CAUCUCUCCUUCUCGUCAAUCAAUCAAUGAGGCCAGCAUUGAUCUCAGAUUCUCUUCUUCCCUCUUCUCCACUGGCCAUUUCGUUCAAAGGCUAACUAAAGAGAGCCGAGCCUCCCCCUUUUUCCGCCUCUAAUAUAACUAACUUAGUUAACGAGUUACGAUGAAAAAGUUCCUGCUGAUGUAACGUUGCUCCCUGCCAACCCUCCUGGGCGUGAGUUGUGUGCAACCCUGCUGUGUGACCGCUCGUCACUGGUCAGUCAAGUCGCCCUUUUUAAUUUCGGCGGUUGACGCUGACCUCGCCAGAGUGGCCACUCCCACUGCACUUGCACUCUUUUCUUCUCUGCGAUGUGCGUGCUUGGCGUGGAGUGGUGGUUAGUUCGUAGGUCUAAAAUCUUUGUUUGAGUUCAUGGCAAUGGAUUUUCUUUUUUUUUUUCUUUUUCUUUUUUUCUUUUUCUUUUUUUCUUUUUCCAUUCUUCUUGCUUUUUAUUUUUAUUGGCGCAAUUGAAACAAAAAAAAAAAGAUAUUUUCAUAGAGUUUAAUUAAACCAGGAUUGAAGAAUCAAAUUACCAUCUCAAAGGAAGAUCCAAGAUCUCAUCAGAACCCUAUUCAACAUCAUCAACUGGCCAGCACGACUACUUAACUUCUGUCGAACCACCUAAUCCUCAUACCCCGGCGUCCUUCUCGGGGGAGCCUUCCGGGGUUCUUACCGUUAAACUGACAUCCAAGCUUUCAGGAUUCGAUGUUAUUGCUUCUUUGCAUAUGCAGCAUCUAUACUACUAUAAUCAGUCGAUCACUCACCCAACUAUGUAUUUGUUCAGCAAUGCCAUUAUCAGCACAAUGUACGGAGU
RNAcentral lists this small RNA (848 nucleotides) under Histoplasma ohiense. RNAcentral's name for it is "hypothetical lncRNA". The record is from RNAcentral. Lineage: Eukaryota; Fungi; Ascomycota; Eurotiomycetes; Onygenales; Ajellomycetaceae.